GAACGCGAAGAACCUUACCCGGGCUUGAACCAAGAGUGACGAGUGCAGAGAUGCACUUUUCUUCGGACACUUUUGGAGGUGCUGCAUGGUUGUCGUCAGCUCGUGCCGUGAGGUGUCGGCUUAAGUGCCAUAACGAGCGCAACCCUUUUCUACGUUUGCCAUCGGGUAAUGCCGGGAACUCCGUGGAUACUGCCGCCGCAAGGCGGAGGAAGGUGGGGAUGACGUCAAAUCAGCACGGCCCUUACGUCCGGGGCUACACACGUGUUACAAUGGUCGGAGCAGCAGGAAGCUACCUGCGACAGGAUGCUGAUCCCAAAACCCGGCCUCAGUUCGGACUGGAGUCUGCAACCCGACUCCACGAAGCCGGAUUCGCUAGUAAUCGCGCAUCAGCCAUGGCGCGGUGAAUACGUUCCCGGGUCUUGUACACACC
Molecule: ribosomal RNA, 430 nt
Filed under: uncultured bacterium
Lineage: Bacteria
Description: bacterial SSU rRNA
Rfam family: Bacterial small subunit ribosomal RNA
Source: RNAcentral